UUGAUUACUGCAGUAAGCAGUUUUUAUUUUCUCACCAAUUAAUUUUUUUAUUUUUCUUGUUUCCUUAGGGUAAGACAUGUGUCAGCCUAUUUGUCCAAUGCCGUGUUAUGACUUCUACACCCUGGCUGUAGUACCGGCUAGUGGUGUACAGCACACACUACCGGUGCUGCUAGAUACCAUUCCCAUACUGUUACGAGGUGGCAGUGUCAUUGCAACGCAGACCCCCAAUGUGACAACCACAGAAAGAUACGUAUGCAGAUUGACGGUACAACUUGCUGAACUUCACCUUGGCUGAGUUGCAGCUCACAGGAUCUGCUGUUUGGUGGGGAUAUAAUGAUAUGCCAGCUUUAGACAAGGUCACCAUUCUUGGAGUACAGAAGCCAGUGAAAUCUGUGUUUGUUAAUCAUGCUUCCAAACCCUUUUCAUACCACACCAUUAAUAAGUUCCUGAAGGUUGAAAACUUACAAAUUCAUCUCCACAGCACAUUCUCCAUCCACUCGAUAUGAAGACAAAUAGUCUAUUAAGCAGCAGUAUAAAAAUUACAGGCGUGGAUGACUAAGGUAGGACCACACAGUAUUUGAGAUAAGUGAUGCUGUAAUGUUCAAUAUAUUCUGAAAUAUUUUGUAAAAUGACUAAGUGUGUAGAUACAUCUAACUCAUCAGUUGAUGGGGGAAAAGGUUCCUUUUAGUCUUUUAUCUGCCAAAUCGUUACAUUAUUCUCAGUGCUCUACGUAUGUAAGUGCAUGUAUAUGUUGGUCCAACAUCCUUCUCUGUAUUCAUUUCUGUGAUUUUAAUUUGUUCGGCAUUGAUGUUUGUUACUGCAUUGUUUAACUUCAGAAUUUAAUGUACUUUAAAUUUUCACAUGAGAAUGUUUUUAUAUGGUGUUGAAGUUUUAAAAUAGGUUAUUUUAUAGUUUGUUUCUUAAAAUGUGCUUUUAUGAAGUGUGUUAGGACAAUCUCAUAAGGUUUAGACAUGUAAAUUGAGUAAUAGAGAAAGUAAAAGACACAUCUGAGUAUGGACAGCCCAGACAUAUUGUUAAUAGAAGUUAAAAGUGUCAACAAAGUCUGCAGGUUUGCUUUCGACAGUCAAUAAAUGUCAGCCUUCUUGCUGGUAAAGCAUUCCUCUGAAUUGUCAGUGAACUCCUAUUAGUCAGAAUUACUGGGUUUUUGUACUUUUCCAUCAUCGUGUAGUAUAGAGACCAGAAAACUACAUUUUGGAAACUGGAUCUAUUUCCAUCCUCAGGUGAGGG
Long non-coding RNA from Cryptotermes secundus, 1248 nucleotides. RefSeq lists it as uncharacterized. The transcript has 3 exons. NCBI's taxonomy places the organism in Eukaryota, Metazoa, Arthropoda, Insecta, Blattodea, Kalotermitidae. The record is from RefSeq and is a predicted model, not a curated record.